Molecule: ribosomal RNA, 283 nt
Filed under: uncultured bacterium
Lineage: Bacteria
Description: partial 16S ribosomal RNA
Rfam family: Bacterial small subunit ribosomal RNA
Source: RNAcentral
GAUCCUGGCUCAGGAUGAACGCUGGCGGCGCGCCUAACACAUGCAAGUCGAACGGUACCCACCCUCGGGUGGAAGCGAGUGGCGAACGGCUGAGUAACACGUGGAGAACCCGCCCCUCCUCCGGGAUAGCCUCGGGAAACCGUGGGUAAUACCGGAUGACCCCGCAGGGCCGCAUGGCCCCGCGGGCAAAGCCCAGACGGGAGGGGGUGGCUCCGCGACGCCCAUCGAGGUAGACGGGCGGGGUGACCGGCCCACCGUCGCCGACGGACGGGUACGGUCCGGG